ACUUAAAUUGAAGAGUUUGAUCAUGGCUCAGAUUGAACGCUGGCGGCAGGCCUAACACAUGCAAGUCGAGCGGUAGCACAGAGAGCUUGCUCUCGGGUGACGAGCGGCGGACGGGUGAGUAAUGUCUGGGAAACUGCCUGAUGGAGGGGGAUAACUACUGGAAACGGUAGCUAAUACCGCAUAAUGUCGUAAGACCAAAGUGGGGGACCUUCGGGCCUCAUGCCAUCAGAUGUGCCCAGAUGGGAUUAGCUAGUAGGUGGGGUAACGGCUCACCUAGGCGACGAUCCCUAGCUGGUCUGAGAGGAUGACCAGCCACACUGGAACUGAGACACGGUCCAGACUCCUACGGGAGGCAGCAGUGGGGAAUAUUGCACAAUGGGCGCAAGCCUGAUGCAGCCAUGCCGCGUGUGUGAAGAAGGCCUUCGGGUUGUAAAGCACUUUCAGCGGGGAGGAAGGCGAUAAGGUUAAUAACCUUGUCGAUUGACGUUACCCGCAGAAGAAGCACCGGCUAACUCCGUGCCAGCAGCCGCGGUAAUACGGAGGGUGCAAGCGUUAAUCGGAAUUACUGGGCGUAAAGCGCACGCAGGCGGUCUGUCAAGUCGGAUGUGAAAUCCCCGGGCUCAACCUGGGAACUGCAUUCGAAACUGGCAGGCUAGAGUCUUGUAGAGGGGGGUAGAAUUCCAGGUGUAGCGGUGAAAUGCGUAGAGAUCUGGAGGAAUACCGGUGGCGAAGGCGGCCCCCUGGACAAAGACUGACGCUCAGGUGCGAAAGCGUGGGGAGCAAACAGGAUUAGAUACCCUGGUAGUCCACGCCGUAAACGAUGUCGAUUUGGAGGUUGUGCCCUUGAGGCGUGGCUUCCGGAGCUAACGCGUUAAAUCGACCGCCUGGGGAGUACGGCCGCAAGGUUAAAACUCAAAUGAAUUGACGGGGGCCCGCACAAGCGGUGGAGCAUGUGGUUUAAUUCGAUGCAACGCGAAGAACCUUACCUGGUCUUGACAUCCACAGAACUUUCCAGAGAUGGAUUGGUGCCUUCGGGAACUGUGAGACAGGUGCUGCAUGGCUGUCGUCAGCUCGUGUUGUGAAAUGUUGGGUUAAGUCCCGCAACGAGCGCAACCCUUAUCCUUUGUUGCCAGCGGUCCGGCCGGGAACUCAAAGGAGACUGCCAGUGAUAAACUGGAGGAAGGUGGGGAUGACGUCAAGUCAUCAUGGCCCUUACGACCAGGGCUACACACGUGCUACAAUGGCAUAUACAAAGAGAAGCGACCUCGCGAGAGCAAGCGGACCUCAUAAAGUAUGUCGUAGUCCGGAUUGGAGUCUGCAACUCGACUCCAUGAAGUCGGAAUCGCUAGUAAUCGUAGAUCAGAAUGCUACGGUGAAUACGUUCCCGGGCCUUGUACACACCGCCCGUCACACCAUGGGAGUGGGUUGCAAAAGAAGUAGGUAGCUUAACCUUCGGGAGGGCGCUUACCACUUUGUGAUUCAUGACUGGGGUGAAGUCGUAACAAGGUAACCGUAGGGGAACCUGCGGUUGGAUCACCUCCUUACCUUAAAGAA
RNAcentral lists this ribosomal RNA (1554 nucleotides) under Klebsiella pneumoniae. Its description in RNAcentral is "bacterial SSU rRNA". It matches the Rfam family "Bacterial small subunit ribosomal RNA". Lineage: Bacteria; Pseudomonadati; Pseudomonadota; Gammaproteobacteria; Enterobacterales; Enterobacteriaceae. The record is from RNAcentral. RNAcentral also lists the same sequence under 1 other name.